This 415-nucleotide long non-coding RNA is filed under the name Piliocolobus tephrosceles (Ugandan red Colobus). Its description in RNAcentral is "lncRNA (ENSPTEG00000038804.1)". The record is from RNAcentral. Lineage: Eukaryota; Metazoa; Chordata; Mammalia; Primates; Cercopithecidae.
CAAACAGCUUGCUACAUCUCUUCCUCCCAGUUUUCCCGGGACAGUACUCUAUUGCUUCCAACACUUAACGCUGCAGAGAGGUCUGAGGGAUAUGUCUCUAAAAGGGCUGUUCUUCACAGAUGUCUGAGGCCACCUUCAAUUAAACCCAAGCCUCUUCCUGUUCUACUGGAGCCCCUGGCUUACCCAUGGAUGAAAGAAGUUUAAAGUUGAGAUUUGUUCUACAAAAUGGCAUCCCUUCUGUUUGAGUUUUGGUAAGAACUUCACCAAUAUAGAUGUCAACUAUUUCCAUAAUCCGUAGCAAGUUGCAAAACCACCUGUUUUAGUUCUGGUAGUACUUGCUGCUUUAAAAAAGAAAUCCCCGGCCGGGCGCGGUGGCUCAAGCCUGCAAUCCCAGCACUUUGGGAGGCCGAGACGG